GUGUAUCAAAGUAGUCGAAGAUCUGGCAAAGUGUCUAUUUUGGAUUUAUGUGACAAUUUUAGCAAAUUUUAGAUAAACAGGAGGGAAUUGUUGGAAUAAUUGGAUAUAAGGUUAUCUCAUAUUUGCUUUCUUGGUUGAUUUGAAUGGUUCAUUGCUUAUGUGAUGCAAUGCAAUCGAGAGACCCGUUGGGUGCCAUGAAAACUUUGCUAUGAUGUGCUUAAACAAUAUGAUGCAAAAAAGUUACAUUGGGUGCUGUGGAAACACCAGUGAUGCAGAAGACAACAUAAAGACUGACGAUCUCGAGAGGGUGGUGAAGACAUCGCAAAGACUCACAUGGACUAUUUUUGUCACGGUUGCUUUGUUUGUCACAUUUGCGUUGUUGUGAUGCGGACCAUGCUAAGGAAUAAAAAAGUGGAGACGUGGAGAUGUGAUUAGAAUGGGUUGGAGACUGUGAAAGAGACAUACCACGUUCUCCUCGCAAACCAGAAGUUCUUCUUGUCUUCCUUCAUUGAAAAAUUGAAAAAACUUGUCCUACGCUGCUUCAACCUGACAAAGGCAACGUUGAUUGGCCAGGCUGGGAGGGUCACACUGCUGUUGAAUCGUGGGCGGUUGACUGAAUCAAAAUAUGCAGUAAAAUGUUUCACCUUCCUGGCGCACCAGACUGCAGAUUCAAUUCAUUGGGAUGAUACACUCUCAGCCAGAUAAGAGCGUGAACGCACAAACUUCUAGGUUACUGCAUCCAGAGUGCGCAAAUGACCAGAAGGAGUUCCCAAAGGUCUCAGAUGAAAACAACUCCCUGGCGACCAGGCUAGUCUCCAAGAAACCUCGAGGAGAUAUCUCUGCAAUCAGCAGGUACUUGUGUCGCCAUCAGGUCACCAACCAGAACUGUCAGAUAUUCAAUGCAUAGUCACCAGGUGAGUUGUCAUGGUGAAAGACCACCUCUCGUUGUGGCACUGCUUUCAUCUCUUUUCACGCACUGAAUGAAGCAUAAACCACUGGAGCUCUUUGGGGGUAAUUUUGAUUGAUAGUUUGACCCACAUUUAAGCGGAAAACACAUUGUUUAGGUUUUACGUCGCUCAACCUGGAACCUUUCUGACACACUUUGAAAGUGAUACAGUGCUUGUAAUUUUACCAGUACUUUUUUUUUUCCGGGUGUACACACAAGUAUCUGAACAUCAAUACUUAUGCCACCUCUGAGUGUACUCACCCGCCCA
This is a long non-coding RNA of Syngnathoides biaculeatus (alligator pipefish), 1214 nucleotides long. RefSeq lists it as uncharacterized. The transcript is spliced from 3 exons. NCBI's taxonomy places the organism in Eukaryota, Metazoa, Chordata, Actinopteri, Syngnathiformes, Syngnathidae. The record is from RefSeq and is a predicted model, not a curated record.